Molecule: ribosomal RNA, 253 nt
Filed under: uncultured bacterium
Lineage: Bacteria
Description: partial 16S ribosomal RNA
Rfam family: Bacterial small subunit ribosomal RNA
Source: RNAcentral
UACGUAGGGUGCAAGCGUUACUCGGAAUCAUUGGGCGUAAAGCGCGUGUAGGCGGCUUCGUAAGUCCGUUGUGAAAGUCCAGGGCUCAACCCUGGAAUGCCGAUGGAUACUGCGGAGCUAGAGUCCGGAAGAGGCGAGUGGAAUUCCUGGUGUAGCGGUGAAAUGCGCAGAUAUCAGGAGGAACACCAAUGGCGAAGGCAGCUCGCUGGGACGGUACUGACGCUGAGACGCGAAAGCGUGGGGAGCAAACAGG